This is a long non-coding RNA of Nilaparvata lugens (brown planthopper), 983 nucleotides long. RefSeq lists it as uncharacterized. The transcript has 2 exons. Lineage: Eukaryota; Metazoa; Arthropoda; Insecta; Hemiptera; Delphacidae. The record is from RefSeq and is a predicted model, not a curated record.
UCAUUUUUUGAUACUUUAAAAUUAGAGAUAUUCUUGAGAAAUUCAAGGGUUCUCUAAUGAGUAUCAUUGAGAGUAAGAAACUCUUAUUGAUACUGUCUUGUACAAACAUACACUCCUGUUGAUUCAGGUAUUCUCUUAGUUCAGUCCAAGUUAAGAUUUGUAACUGUUUAUCUACAUUAUAUAAAAUUGCUUUGUUUUGUAAGUGCUUUACAAGUUUGUUGCAGCUUAGCCUACCAAAUGAAUCCAAGUGCACCAUUGUAGAUAUUUUUUAAAAGGAUUGAUGAACAACUAAACAAACAAUAUUGUGGAGAUACAUGUGAAUUAUUAUGGAGAUGCCACCAGCUAUUCAAUGCAUUGGAGAGCAGCUCUACUACCAAAGUGGAGAUGUGGAUCACUGGAUGUGGUAUGAGAUAUCUGUUAUUUAUAUUUUCAGUAGUUUAGACAGGUUAGAAUUCUCUAACACUUCCCUAUUCUAACACAGAUAUCAAGCUAGGGCCGGGAUGUUUAUGGUGGUUACUAUUAUGACACAGUUCAUCCCGACCCCUUCGGCAGUGCCUUGUUCUAUCCGGUUGGUUCUGAGUCCAAUGGGUGCUUUCAAGUUAGAGUCAACUGACCUGCAGAUCGCAUUUCCGCGUGCCAACAACUGGACGAACAUGUGCUACUGUUAGAUUGUGGUUUAUGGAUGGCUGUGGAGUAAGAAAAUCACCUUGAAUAGGGUUUGAGUUGUCAGGGUCCCUGUAGGAUAUUUGCAGUUGUCAGUCGACUAUUACAUUUCUGAUCAGUGCCCUUUGUGGUGGUGCCACAGCUUUUUCAUGAUGGUUGCGGGCUCAGUACAGCACUAAUUUGAUGAGCAGGUGGUACUGUUACACUGUGGCCUGGUCUGACUUGUUCUAUGAGACUGGCAAUGCAAAUAUUAGAUUGUAGUGCCUUCAGCAAACUUAGGGAUGGGGGUGUGAGAAUUAUCUGUCUUAAGAAUUAGAAUU